CAGCAAAACAAAGAUAAUUAUAUGCUGUCAGGAACCAGACUGCUUUUAGGACUUUUUCCCCGCUUGGGGCUAUGUAUCUCCAUUAUAGGAUUUUGUUGUUUUGGUAUACGUGUCUUAACCAUCUCUCUUUUUUUCUCUUCUUGCUUAGUAUUUCUACCCUCUCCUAUUUUUUUGCUAAAAUGUAGCCAAUAGUGGAAUCUUAUCUCCCUUUUUGAUAUAACCAAUGCCAUUAGUUUGUGAUAAUUGUUUCAUUGUCUUGAUAAUCCUUACCUAAAAUUCUAGAGACCUAAUCAUAAUAUUCCAAUUAGCCAUCUGUGCCAGUCUACUUUAAAGAUGAUUGAACCUAGCACAGUCAGUAGCCUGGACAGUCACUUAUUAAUUGCCGUGGGUAAUUUGAAAAAUAUAUUUUUAAGAGCAUGAAAUUCAGUGUGACUAUAUUUUAGACUUGAGUUAAAUCCAAAUGAUAAUGGAUUAGGGGAUUCAUUGCACCUUAAAAAAAAAAGAAGAA
Molecule: long non-coding RNA, 508 nt
Filed under: Rattus norvegicus (Norway rat)
Lineage: Eukaryota; Metazoa; Chordata; Mammalia; Rodentia; Muridae
Description: long non-coding RNA NONRATT030522
Source: RNAcentral